CUGAGAAGGGGGAGGGAACAGCUGCUGCUUCUAUCAGCUCAUUUAGAAUUUGCCUAGUGACUUUUAUUUCACUGAGUAUUUUAGAGGGAGAUUCUUCUUUCUGACUCUCAAAAUGGUUAUCAAAGUUUUUAUUGCCACAUCUUCUGGGUCCAUAGCGAUUAGGAAGAAACAGCAAGAAGUGGUGGGCUUUUUGGAAGCCAAUAAAAUUGACUUUAAGGAAUUUGAUAUUGCUGGUGAUGAAGACAACAGGAGAUGGAUGAGAGAGAAUGUACCUGGAGAGAAAAAACCACAAAAUGGGAUUCCUCUUCCUCCACAGAUCUUUAAUGAGGAGCAGUAUUGUGGGGAUUUUGAAUCUUUCUUCUCUGCAAAAGAAGAAAAUAUUAUAUAUUCAUUUCUUGGUUUGGCACCUCCUCCAGGCUCAAAGGUGACAGAAACAACUGAGGAAACAUCAACUGUUCCGAAUGGUGAACUUGUGGAAGGGGAACAGAAUACUGCAGAAGGAACAGACAGUGCUGAAGUAAGUGAUAAAAAUGAGGUGCCAAAAGAAGGCACAGAAGAUGUAGACAAUACUCCUGAAUCAGAAGUAAAACAGGAGGGGACUACAGAAGAGGAAGAAAAAGAGGAAGCAGAAGAGGAGGAAAAAGAGGAAGCUGAAGAGGAAGAAAAAGAGGAAGCACAAGAGAACGAAGAGGCAGAAGAUUCUUAGUUCUUUUCAUGCUUCAUUUAUUCAAGUUUCUCAGCUUGACAGAGAAGAAAGAAAGAGACUCUCUUAAAAGCAAACAUUAAAGACAGGCUCCAGACAGAGUCUAAAAACAAACAAGCCAAAAAGCAAUAGUCCCUGCUCUCAAGAAGCCUACAUUUUAUUUGAAGAAACAUGUAUACAUAUUAGAAUAAAACUCAUUGCAAGAAGUGAAGGACAAGCCAUACCACAGUAUUUCAUCAAUAUUGUCCCAGGAAAAUAAAUUGGCCUGAGGUUUAGAGACAUUUCUUAACAUAUCAGUACUACAUUGAGGAGUUGCUGUGCUAUUUAUAUGGGUAGGUGUAUAUUGUCUAUCUGCAUAUGAAAGGAAAUAUGGAUAUAUUCACAUUACUUUAUAUUUGGUUCAAAUAGAUAUGUUUACUAUGAAAGAGCACCCUUAAUAUUACUCUGAAAAUUUUAUUCCAAAGUGUGAAACUAGCUCAAAUUCAGCCCAAGAGAUUUUAAGGAUGUUCCCUGUACCUGUGCUUUAUGCUGCUUCUGUCAGAACAAUUUUGAGCAUGUUAUUGUGUACAACAGUCUAAAUAAAAGCUUUCAAUGUAAAAUCA
Molecule: RNA transcript, 1305 nt
Organism: Antechinus flavipes (yellow-footed antechinus)
Lineage: Eukaryota; Metazoa; Chordata; Mammalia; Dasyuromorphia; Dasyuridae
Gene: SH3BGR
Gene name: SH3 domain binding glutamate rich protein
Exons: 9
Source: RefSeq, a predicted model, not a curated record